Molecule: ribosomal RNA, 460 nt
Filed under: uncultured bacterium
Lineage: Bacteria
Description: partial 16S ribosomal RNA
Rfam family: Bacterial small subunit ribosomal RNA
Source: RNAcentral
UCUACGGGUGGCAGCAGUGAGGAAUAUUGGUCAAUGGACGAGAGUCUGAACCAGCCAAGUAGCGUGAAGGAUGACUGCCCUAUGGGUUGUAAACUUCUUUUAUAAAGGAAUAAAGUGAGGCACGUGUGCCUUUUUGUAUGUACUUUAUGAAUAAGGAUAGGCUAACUCCGUGCCAGCAGCCGCGGUAAUACGGAGGAUCCGAGCGUUAUCCGGAUUUAUUGGGUUUAAAGGGAGCGUAGAUGGGUUGUUAAGUCAGUUGUGAAAGUUUGCGGCUCAACCGUAAAAUUGCAAUUGAUACUGGCAGUCUUGAGUACAGUUGAGGUAGGCGGAAUUCGUGGUGUAGCGGUGAAAUGCUUAGAUAUCACGAAGAACUCCGAUUGCGAAGGCAGCUUACUAAACUGCCACUGACAUUGAUGCUCGAAAGUGUGGGUAUUAAACAGGAUUAGAUACCCUUGUAGUC